RNAcentral lists this long non-coding RNA (222 nucleotides) under Lathyrus oleraceus (garden pea). RNAcentral's name for it is "Pisum sativum (pea) long non-coding RNA (PSAT_LNC018690)". The record is from RNAcentral. Lineage: Eukaryota; Viridiplantae; Streptophyta; Magnoliopsida; Fabales; Fabaceae.
GUUGAUGUUGUUGUUGCUGAGUAGAAACUGAUUGAUUGGUUAAAUUGUUGGAAAAGAUUGGAAUUACUGAUGAAACUUGAUGUUGAUCUCGACGUGACUGAGAAUUCUUCCCCGCAUGAGGCCUCCUCUGCCUCCCAGCUGAUACUGCAUUAGUUUCUCCUUCCUUCCUUCUUUUUGGAGAAACUCGUACCAUACUUCUUACUUGUCGACGCUUCAUCUUUG